This 595-nucleotide ribosomal RNA is filed under the name uncultured crenarchaeote. RNAcentral describes it as "bacterial SSU rRNA". It matches the Rfam family "Archaeal small subunit ribosomal RNA", at positions 287 to 884 of the family's 1478-position model. Lineage: Archaea; Thermoproteati; Thermoproteota. The record is from RNAcentral.
AGCCCGGAGAUGGACACUGAGACAAGGGUCCAGGCCCUAAGGGGCGCAGCAACCGCGAAACCUCCACAAUGCACUCACGUGCGACGGGGCUAUCUCGAGUGCCACCUGAUGAAGGUGGCUUUUCCUUGGUCUUCAAAGCCUUGGGAAUAAGAGGGGGGCAAGACUGGUGUCAGCCGCCGCGGUAACACCAGCCCCUCGAGUGGUGGGGAUGAUUAUUUGGCCUAAAGCGUCCGUAGCCGGCCGAGCAAGUCUUCCGUUAAAUCCAGCGUCUCAAGCGUUGGACCGCGGGAGAUACUACACGGCUAGAGAGUGGGAGAGGUCAGCGGUAUUCUGGGGGUAGGGGCGAAAUCCUCUGACCCCCGGAGGACCACCAGUGGCGAAGACUGCUGACUAGAACACGUCUGACGGUCAGGGACGAAAGCUGGGGUAGCGAACCGGAUUAGAUACCCGGGUAGUCCCAGCCGUAAACGAUGCAUGCUAGGUGUUGGGUUGGCCACGAGCCACCCCAGUGCCGCAGGGAAGCCGUUAAGCAUGCCGCCUGGGAAGUACGAUCGCAAGGUUGAAACUUAAAGGAAUUGGCGGGGGAGCACAAUCG